RNAcentral lists this ribosomal RNA (273 nucleotides) under uncultured Anabaena sp. Its description in RNAcentral is "partial 16S ribosomal RNA". It matches the Rfam family "Bacterial small subunit ribosomal RNA", at positions 524 to 796 of the family's 1533-position model. Lineage: Bacteria; Bacillati; Cyanobacteriota; Cyanophyceae; Nostocales; Nostocaceae. The record is from RNAcentral.
GACGUAGGAUGCAAGCGUUGUCCGGAUUUAUUGGGCGUAAAGAGUUCGUAGGCUGUUUGUUAAGUCUGGUGUUAAAGACUGAGGCCCAACCUCGGAAAUGCAUCGGAUACUGGCAGACUUGAGUACGGUAGAGGCGAGUGGAAUUCCCAGUGUAGCGGUGAAAUGCGUAGAUAUUGGGAAGAACACCGGUGGCGUAGGCGACUCGCUGGGCCGCAACUGACGCUGAGGAACGAAAGCCAGGGGAGCGAAUGGGAUUAGAAACCCCAGUAGUCC